This 405-nucleotide RNase P RNA is filed under the name Acidobacteriota bacterium. RNAcentral's name for it is "Acidobacteria bacterium (freshwater metagenome) RNase P RNA component class A". It matches the Rfam family "Bacterial RNase P class A". Rfam says of the family: Ribonuclease P (RNase P) is a ubiquitous endoribonuclease, found in archaea, bacteria and eukarya as well as chloroplasts and mitochondria. Its best characterised activity is the generation of mature 5'-ends of tRNAs by cleaving the 5'-leader elements of precursor-tRNAs. Lineage: Bacteria; Pseudomonadati; Acidobacteriota. The record is from RNAcentral.
CUUGCCGGAUGGACAGCCGCUCCGGGCAAUCGUGUCCGGGGAGGAAAGUCCGGUCUCCGUAGGGCGGCGUGCCGGCUAACGGCCGGGGGCGCCCGCCUCAAAACGGGCGCUACGGAAAGUGCCACAGAAAAGAUACCGCUCCCGCCGCAAGGUGGCGAGUAAGGGUGAAAAGGUGCGGUAAGAGCGCACCGCGGCCGGAGCGAUCCGGCCGGCAGGGUAAACCCCACGCGGAGCAAGACCAAAUAGGAGAGGAGGAGUGGCCCGCUCCGCUUCCACUCUCGGGUAGGUCGCUAGAGCCGGGCAGUAAUGUCCGGCCCAGAGGAAUGGCUGUCGCCCCUCCGCGCUUUCGGGCUCGCCCGAAAGCGCGGAGGGGUACAGGAACCGGCUUACAAUCCGGCAAGCUUU